AACCUUGUUAGGUGAGGCUCCUGUAUCAGAGAUACGCUGCUGCCCAGAAACGUCGAAAGACGCCAAUGGGUUACCAGGAAUUUUCGAAUUAAGGGAAUUCUUAAUGUAGCUGGUUGAUCCUAUGCUAUACAGUGCCAAAACUAAACGAAGAGG
This 153-nucleotide small RNA is filed under the name Jeotgalibaca ciconiae. RNAcentral describes it as "M-box riboswitch (ykoK leader)". It matches the Rfam family "M-box riboswitch aptamer (ykoK leader)". From Rfam's summary of the family: M-box riboswitch, also know as ykoK leader is described as a metaloregulatory RNA that sense divalent metals and function as a genetic control element of genes related to divalent metal transport in bacteria. It was first reported upstream of the B.subtilis ykoK gene and genes with related functions in other bacteria. Phylogenetic analysis of the distribution of M-box RNAs across bacterial genomes revealed that M-box riboswitches are most often employed for the regulation of Mg2+ transporter genes Lineage: Bacteria; Bacillati; Bacillota; Bacilli; Lactobacillales; Carnobacteriaceae. The record is from RNAcentral.